Molecule: long non-coding RNA, 839 nt
Organism: Pleuronectes platessa (European plaice)
Lineage: Eukaryota; Metazoa; Chordata; Actinopteri; Pleuronectiformes; Pleuronectidae
Exons: 2
Source: RefSeq, a predicted model, not a curated record
ACAUGAGCCUCCACACCUGAGAAUAUAAGGUAGGGAAGCUGUGAGGCAGCUUAUUGCUACAGUCCUGCUACAAACAGACAGACAGAGAAAGACAGACUCAGCUCUUUGACACACUCAUACAUAACUCAAAAUCAGACAAAGUCUGCUGGGUAAUGGCUGCUCUCAGGGUUUUUCUCCCUCUCGCCAUCUGCCACCUGCUGGGGCAUCAGACGUUUGCCAAACAUGUCGCUCCCUGCCAGAAGUCUGCCCGGAUCAACGGCUAUGACACCUUCGUCAAGCGCCACAUUCGUGGCGAUUGGCCCGCCAUUGAAAAGAAAGAAGAAUGGACGAUUUACAUCAAGAAAGUCAGCAGUGACUGUAAGAGAACCAUUCAGUCUUUUCUUCAGCCUAAAGAUCAGAAAGAUGUGAAGGAUGUGUGCUUGAAAGCAGGCUGGAAGAUCAACCGGGAAAACCUGUGCAUCAGCGACAAGCUAUUCAAAUUUGUUACAGUGACAAGCGAGAUUAACACCUGCAAAGUCACUGAUGUAACUAUGGAAGAAAAAUAUCUGAUUCUGGGCUGUGAGAUCGAGAGGGAUGUGUGUCUGCCUGUGCAUUUUGAGGCAAACCGUGACGAAAAACCUGAAGGAAAAAAAAAUCGCUGCCUAGAGCCCUGACAUUUUAAAGCAGCUUAAAAAUGUCAGGGCUCCAAUAGUACCUCUUUUAAAUUUGAGAAACAUGAGAUCUUAACAUCUUAACACGUUGUGUGGAUUAAAAUGGGAAUCAAUCACAUUUCCACACCAAAGGGAUUGUAUUUUAUUAUGCAUGUUUGCGGUAUAUUUAAUAAAGUGAGUUCAGAAGAA